CCGGCGCACGGGUGAGUAACACGUAUGGAACCUGCCCUAUGCAGGGGGAUAAGCGGAAGAAAUUCCGUCUAAUACCGCAUAACACCAUUUGGAGACAUCUCCAGGUGGUCAAAGGAGGCGACUCCGGCAUAGGAUGGCCAUGCGUCGCAUUAGGCAGUAGGCGGGGUAACGGCCCACCUAACCGACGAUGCGUAGGGGUUCUGAGAGGAAGGUCCCCCACACUGGUACUGAGACACGGACCAGACUCCUACGGGAGGCAGCAG
This 263-nucleotide ribosomal RNA is filed under the name uncultured bacterium. RNAcentral describes it as "partial 16S ribosomal RNA". It matches the Rfam family "Bacterial small subunit ribosomal RNA", at positions 95 to 354 of the family's 1533-position model. The record is from RNAcentral.